CAGUAGCCACGGGAAUACAGAGGGUGCGAGCGUUAAUCGGAUUUACUGGGCGUAAAGCGUGCGUAGGCGGCUAAUUGAGUCGGAUGUGAAAUCCCCGAGCUUAACUUGGGAAUUGCAUUCGAUACUGGUUAGCUAGAGUGUGGGAGAGGAUGGUAGAAUUCCAGGUGUAGCGGUGAAAUGCGUAGAGAUCUGGAGGAAUACCGAUGGCGAAGGCAGCCAUCUGGCCUAAUACUGACGCUGAGGUACGAAAGCAUGGGGAGCAAACAGGAUUAGAUACCCCUGUAGUCCCUGUCUCUUAUAC
RNAcentral lists this ribosomal RNA (301 nucleotides) under uncultured bacterium. RNAcentral describes it as "partial 16S ribosomal RNA". It matches the Rfam family "Bacterial small subunit ribosomal RNA", at positions 509 to 807 of the family's 1533-position model. The record is from RNAcentral.